AAGGUUAAAGUUGUUUGUUUUUUAGAAGAGGAUUACAGUCAGCUAUUGCUUAAGCAGCUGUUAAAUGAGAGAAAAACAUUCAGUCUUGGCUCUCCUAUGGCAUGGCUGAAAAGCCACAUCUACAUCAGAGGUUCAGAAUAUUUUGGAAGGCCACAGAAUGGAAGUGCUUUCUCACCAGGUGAAAAACAGAUAAAGCAAGUUUUCAAUUUUGUUUACCAUUCUCAUUGCUAUAGUUCAUCAGCAUGCCACAAAAGACAGUCAAGAGCUUCUCACUGGCGGGAUCUGUUUUACUGCACAGUGACCUUAAAUGGUCAACUACAAUCUGUGCACCACCUGCUUGGUCAACUGCACUUCUGCCCUCAUCUGUAAAACAAAGAGUCAAAUUAAAAAUAAAAGAAAAAAGAAAUGUA
Molecule: long non-coding RNA, 410 nt
Organism: Bubalus bubalis (water buffalo)
Lineage: Eukaryota; Metazoa; Chordata; Mammalia; Artiodactyla; Bovidae
Exons: 3
Source: RefSeq, a predicted model, not a curated record